This 303-nucleotide ribosomal RNA is filed under the name uncultured bacterium. RNAcentral's name for it is "partial 16S ribosomal RNA". It matches the Rfam family "Bacterial small subunit ribosomal RNA", at positions 507 to 807 of the family's 1533-position model. The record is from RNAcentral.
AGCAGUCGCCGCGGUAAUACGGAGGGUGCAAGCGUUAAUCGGAAUUACUGGGCGUAAAGCGCACGCAGGCGGUCUGUCAAGUCGGAUGUGAAAUCCCUGAGCUUAACUUAGGAAUUGCAUUCGAUACUGGGAAGCUAGAGUAUGGGAGAGGAUGGUAGAAUUCCAGGUGUAGCGGUGAAAUGCGUAGAGAUCUGGAGGAAUACCGAUGGCGAAGGCAGCCAUCUGGCCUAAUACUGACGCUGAGGUACGAAAGCAUGGGGAGCAAACAGGAUUAGAUACCCGCGUAGUCCCUGUCUCUUAUAC